RNAcentral lists this long non-coding RNA (2090 nucleotides) under Trifolium pratense (red clover). Its description in RNAcentral is "long non-coding RNA (TPRA_LNC013729)". Lineage: Eukaryota; Viridiplantae; Streptophyta; Magnoliopsida; Fabales; Fabaceae. The record is from RNAcentral.
CCUCCAUUGUUAAACCCUAAAUCCCUUGGAGGUAAAUAUUUUCCCUCUUUUUAUGUUUGUGUUGUUGAUUCCUUGGAUUUUUCUGUUGUUGUAUGAUCUCUAAAUUCCUUGUCAGUUUGGAUUGUAUCAAAUGUAAUAUUUUCUGUGUGAAUAUUUGAUGAUGAUAAAGUUUCAAAGAGCUAGUGAGGGGUUGAUUGAAUUUUUUCCUGUUAAAAUAGAAACCAUAGGGUCACAAAAUGAAUCAAUUGCGCCGUUGUUAGGUAAAAUAGGUUGUAAGGGGUUGGUCUUUGUAAAUUACUUAUAUUUUUACAUGUAUAGUUUUACAAUGGUGCUUUGAUUAUGAUUCUCAUUGUAGCUACACAAUUUCCCUUUCAAUUUCAGUGGUUUUUUCACUCCAAAAACCUGAUUAUGAUUCAAACAUCAAUGUUGAUUAUAAUGAUUACAGGAUUUGUAUGACAUGAAGAAGCGGUUGAAGGAAUUGGAAGAUUGGAAGAUGAAUACAUCAAUGUAGGGUUUUUUCAACAGUUUUUUUGUUCAACUUUUUAGUUCUCUUUAUUGAUACAUGUACUGUAGGCAUUUAUUUUCAGAAUGGAUAUUUAUAUUGAUUUGGGAUUUGGGAGAAACCAAGCUCUCUAGGAAAAGAAGUUCUGCCUAAUUUGUCAAUAGUUUCUUUUUUUUUUCUUUUCAACUUUUUAGUUCUUGGUGAAGAGGUGCUACAUGCUUGAGUGCCCUGGUGAUCAAGUUGCCUAUUAUUUUUACCACUGAGGGAUGUAUAUCAUAUGAAGAUGUUCUCCAUCAUGUGGAUGGGAGAGGCAUGUGCUGAGAUGCUUGAGUGUCUCCUAGCACAAUGACAACCCUUUUACUAGAUUCUCGAUCAAUCUUUGUGUAUUGAAGGGAAAGUUAUAGGAAAAGAGUUGGUGAAAAACAGCUCCAUUAUUUUGGUGAACAUUUACAUUGCUGAUAUGCAUAUUUUGUGUAACUUUGUUCCAUCCUGAGUCAUGUAGGGAGUGGAUGUAUGAGUUGAAUCUUGUGUGCCUUUGCUCUCUAAUUGCUUACUGUUUUGCAGCUUUUAAUUGGCAAUUCUAUAUAUGAUUUCUUUAGAGUGUUUCUUGCUUUAGAAUUGUCUGACCAGCUCCCCACCUCUUUGUGUUUAGAACCUAAAAGUCAUGGUUUGUUUUUUGUUAUAGAAGCAUCCUUGGCUUCGAUUUUCUGUAGGGUUUGCUAGGCUUUAUGAUUUAGCGAUUUUAACAUUUUUUCAUUAUUUAUAGUCUAAUUAUUUGUUAGUUAUAUGAUUCAGGAGAAGUAACUUUGUGUGAUUUGAUUGCAAAAUGUAGUGGACGAGAUAAAGAAUAAUCCUAAAGUGCUAAGAUUACAAAAGCUGAAGCGCUCAAUAAAAGCCAAUCCGACACUUCAAGAAUUGUCAAAGGUAUGUUUUGUAACAAUUACUAAUAUUUGGUCUAUGAUUCAACUUAUAGUUGCUGCAAUAUUAGAACGAUUUAUUCUAGUGAAUAUCUUAUAUGUGACCGAAAACGUGUUUAACUUGCUAUGAAAUUGAAAAGUAAGUUCUUUCUAAAACUAUGCUUGUCAGGGAGGACCCUUGUUUGAGUUAAAAUCAUGUUGUAUCAAAUUAAGAAUAAUAUUCUAGUGUGUGUUUUGGGGCUCAAACUGGUUUUGCGGGAAUUCUGAAGCUUAUUUUCUCUUUCAAAACUUUAUUCUAAUUAAGGCCAAUGCUCCAUUACGUGUGAUGGUCAUUGGCUUAUCAAUAACAGAACUCUGGAUACUGCAAUAUCAGAAUCUUUUCCUAGAACUGCAAUAUCAUUUAGUGUUUAUAUUGAUAGACUGAUGGAAGUUGAGGUAGGAAGCUGGCUAUGUGGCUACUAUUUUGAAUGACUUGUGAAAGACACAUACAAGAUGACCAUGUAAAUCAUUCUUAUAGUUGAGGUUAGAGCCAAGGUAGUAUGUUUUGGAAACUUUAAAAAAUCAUUUUCUUAUUUUUCAAUUCUUACUUUGUUUUUUAGUGAAAUAGUUUGGACUCUUUCUUUUAGUGAAAUAGUUUGGACUCUUUCUUGAAAAUGUUAGAUUCAUUUGUG